RNAcentral lists this ribosomal RNA (438 nucleotides) under uncultured Glomus. RNAcentral describes it as "SSU rRNA". It matches the Rfam family "Eukaryotic small subunit ribosomal RNA", at positions 569 to 1012 of the family's 1831-position model. Lineage: Eukaryota; Fungi; Glomeromycota; Glomeromycetes; Glomerales; Glomeraceae. The record is from RNAcentral.
AGCAGCCGCGGUAAUUCCAGCUCCAAUAGCGUAUAUUAAAGUUGCUGCAGUUAAAAAGCUCGUAGUUGAAUUUCGGGACCAUCAUGUUGGUCGUGCCUAGGUACGUACUGGCAUUGUUGGUUUCUCCCUUCUGACGAACCAUGAUGUCAUUAAUUUGGUGUCUUGGGGAAUCAGGACUGUUACUUUGAAAAAUUAGAGUGUUUAAAGCAGGCAUACGCUUGAAUACAUUAGCAUGGAAUAAUGAAAUAGGACGUUUGAUUCUAUUUUGUUGGUUUCUAGGAUCGACGUAAUGAUUAAUAGGGAUAGUUGGGGGCAUUAGUAUUCAAUUGUCAGAGGUGAAAUUCUUGGAUUUAUUGAAGACUAACUACUGCGAAAGCAUUUGCCAAGGAUGUUUUCAUUAAUCAAAGAACGAAAGUUAGGGGAUCGAAGACGAUCAGA